This 497-nucleotide ribosomal RNA is filed under the name uncultured bacterium. RNAcentral describes it as "partial 16S ribosomal RNA". It matches the Rfam family "Bacterial small subunit ribosomal RNA", at positions 28 to 507 of the family's 1533-position model. The record is from RNAcentral.
GAUGAACGCUGGCGGCGUGCCUAAUACAUGCAAGUCGAGCGAACAGACGAGGAGCUUGCUCCUCUGACGUUAGCGGCGGACGGGUGAGUAACACGUGGAUAACCUACCUAUAAGACUGGGAUAACUUCGGGAAACCGGAGCUCAUACCGGAUAAUAUAUUGAACCGCAUGGUUCAAUAGUGAAAGACGGUUUUGCUGUCACUGAUAGAUGGAUCCGCGCCGCAUUAGCUAGUUGGUAAGGUAACGGCUUACCAAGGCAACGAUGCGUAGCCGACCUGAGAGGGUGAUCGGCCACACUGGAACUUAGACACGGUCCAGACUCCUACGGGAGGCAGCAGUAGGGAAUCUUCCGCAAUGGGCGAAAGCCUGACGGAGCAACGCCGCGUGAGUGAUGAAGGUCUUCGGAUCGUAAAACUCUGUUAUUAGGGAAGAACAAAUGUGUAAGUAACUAUGCACGUCUUGACGGUACCUAAUCAGAAAGCCACGGCUAACUACGUG